AUUUAUAUAAUAUUUUAUUCCCAACUAUUAAAAUUUAUUGAUCAUAUUAAAAAAUUUUAUCUAUAUAUUUAUCCAUAUUAAAAAAAUUUUAUAUUUAUUGUUGUUUUAAAUAUUAUUAAUUAUUAAAUAAAUUAAAAUUUAAACAAAUGUAUGAAUCACUACUCAUUCGAUCAUAGUGGCUUCAUUUAUGCACCUAAUCACCUUUAAAUUU
Molecule: long non-coding RNA, 211 nt
Filed under: Vitis vinifera (wine grape)
Lineage: Eukaryota; Viridiplantae; Streptophyta; Magnoliopsida; Vitales; Vitaceae
Description: long non-coding RNA (VVIN_LNC006809)
Source: RNAcentral